GCAAAGCCCCCGGUUUCUGAACGUAUUUCACAAACAAUUAAACCGAAUAAACUAUAAUUCUAUAAACAGUUUUAAAAGAAUUCGGUAACCUAGUAACAUAGUAUGUUCACGUAUAGAAACCUAAAUAGAUUAAACGUCUUCAUUUGUAAGUAUACUUCGGUACGGGGUUUUUUUUUUUUUUUUUUAAUAUUGGCUAUUUGCGAAUUUAUAUUUAACACUAAUAUUCAACUGUUAUCGAAAUGAUAACCAUGGUGCGAACAAUAUUUGUUUAUCUCGUUGUCAACCAAAUCAACAGCCGUCAACUAUGUGCUUGUACCACGGACAGACGACAGGGAUAUAUAAGUCGUAUUAAACUUACGUUUAAACGGUUUAAAAUCGCAUUACGAUAAAAAUGUUUUUGUUUUUUACCACCGUGUAACCGAUGGACAACAGAAAUAAA
Cinara cedri is the source of this 439-nucleotide non-coding RNA. The record is from the annotation of a GenBank genome assembly. Lineage: Eukaryota; Metazoa; Arthropoda; Insecta; Hemiptera; Aphididae.